CUCCCUAGCUCACGCCAUCCUCCCCGCGAAGCCACAUCUUCCGCGGAGGCUCCGGUUAGGUCAGCCAGUCCCCGCCACUGCGGGGCCCACAGUCCCCAAGCAGGCCCUCGGGUGGCGGGCGAGAAAGUCGCUCCUCCCAGGUUGGUUCCCACCGACGCAGCAGGAAAGUGGUCUGGGGAAGGGUUUCCACCGGCUUCACNGGGAAGAAGUGGCUUCGACNUAGUGUUGGACAAGAUAGGUGGCUUAGGCCACCUUUAGCCCACGGAUGCCAAGAUGAUAUCUACUGGCAGCUCCUCUGAGCUUCUGGCUGUCACCUGCAUCGUCACUGUGUCCAAAAGCAGAAGCCGAGAACGCACAAGGAUGUCAUGACCACCCCGGAACACUCCUCUCACUCAGCAGAUACCUGCCACUGUGGGGACAUGGUGGGCUUCAGGACACAGAGCAAGCCCGAGGUACCCAAUGUAAGUGGCACUGCUUCAACCGACAAGUCAUUUCUCCAGCAGAUUUUGUACUUCAACUGUGUCCUCUGGGCCCAAAAUAGACGGAACCCUAUUGUCAUCUCAGCUGUGAGUGUGACAUAACUCUCCCAUUCAGCCAGCCUGCACUAGCAGCGUCCAUGCAACGAGUCCUUUGUUCAUUCUUCCAACAGAUCUUCACAGAAACCUGUUUUUGCAGGUGUUUACAGGGCGUACAGCAACCAGUGAAAGGCGCGCCCUAGCUAUAGCUCCUGGGAGGAGAGGUCUUAAGGCAGUUCCNGCCUCAGUCAUUUUGGCUCAGGAAUGGCCAUCUCUACUUUGGUCCUUAUUCUACACAAGUGUGAAUGUCAGAUGCAUGCUAAGUGACUAAGGAACUGUGGCCCAGCAGAGCAAAGGGACCCAGCUAUCUAGAAAGCAACAUUACAAGAGCAAUUCACGUCUUAAAAAUCUUGCUUUCCUUUUGAGCCAAUUAAAGAAUUAUCCUAAGAAAAUAAUCAGAAAUGUGCUGGGCAUGGAGGUGCAUGCCUUUAAUACCAGAACUCAGGAGGCAAAGGCAGGCAGAUCUUCAAAGUGAGUCCAGGACAGCCAGGGUUCUGUUAUACAGAAAAACCCUGUCUCGAAUCGCCCCACCC
Molecule: long non-coding RNA, 1108 nt
Filed under: Mus caroli (Ryukyu mouse)
Lineage: Eukaryota; Metazoa; Chordata; Mammalia; Rodentia; Muridae
Description: lncRNA (MGP_CAROLIEiJ_G0003895.1)
Source: RNAcentral